This 121-nucleotide small RNA is filed under the name Arabidopsis thaliana (thale cress). RNAcentral describes it as "ATSL270510". The record is from RNAcentral. Lineage: Eukaryota; Viridiplantae; Streptophyta; Magnoliopsida; Brassicales; Brassicaceae.
AUCAAGAAGAAGCUUGGUUAGUGUUUUGGAGUCGAAUAUGACUUGAUGUCAUGUGUAUGAUUGAGUAUAAGAACUUAAACCGCAACCGGAUCUUAAAAGCCUAAGUACUGUUUCUUUGUUA